CCUACGGGUGGCAGCAGUGAGGAAUAUUGGUCAAUGGACGAAAGCCUGAACCAGCCAAGUCGCGUGAAGGAUGACUGCCCUAUGGGUUGUAAACCUCUUUUAUAUGGGAAUAACACAGGGCAUGCAUACCCUCCUGUACGUACCAUAUGAAUAAGGACCGGCUAACUCCGUGCCAGCAGCCGCGGUAAUACGGAGGAUCCGAGCGUUAUCCGGAUUUAUUGGGGUUAAAGGGAGCGUAGGUGGAAUGUUAAGGCAGUUGUGAAAGUCUGCGGCUAAAACGCAACAUUGCAGUUGAAACUGGCAGUCUUGAGUACAGUAGAGGCAGGCGGAAUUCGUGGUGUAGCGGUGAAAUGCUUAGAUAUCACGAAGAACCCCGAUUGCGAAGGCAGCUCGCUGGACUGCAACUGACGCUGAGGCUCGAAAGUGUGGGUAUCAAACAGGAUUAGAUACCCGGGUAGUC
Molecule: ribosomal RNA, 460 nt
Filed under: uncultured bacterium
Lineage: Bacteria
Description: partial 16S ribosomal RNA
Rfam family: Bacterial small subunit ribosomal RNA
Source: RNAcentral